UACGAAGGAUCCAAGCGUUGUCCGGAUUUACUGGGUUUAAAGGGUGCGUAGGCGGAUGAAUAAGUCAGUGGUGAAAGCUUGCAGCUUAACUGUAAAAUUGCCAUUGAAACUGUUCAUCUUGAGUGUGGUUGAGGUAGCUGGAAUAUAUCAUGUAGCGGUGAAAUGCUUAGAUAUGAUAUAGAACACCAAUUGCGAAGGCAGGCUACUAAACCAUUACUGACGCUGAGGCACGAAAGCGUGGGGAUCAAACAGGAUUAGAUACCCUGGUAGUCCACGCCCUAAACGUUGCAUACUCGACCUUAGCGAUAUAUUGUUAGGGUCUAAGCGAAAGCGUUAAGUAUGCCACCUGGGAAGUACGUUCGCAAGAAUG
RNAcentral lists this ribosomal RNA (370 nucleotides) under uncultured prokaryote. RNAcentral describes it as "bacterial SSU rRNA". It matches the Rfam family "Bacterial small subunit ribosomal RNA", at positions 524 to 896 of the family's 1533-position model. The record is from RNAcentral.